AAAAAGAACAACAUAUGACGAUGUAAUGUAAAGAAAAGAAACAGAACGAUAAGACCACGAACUAGAUAAGACUAUGUAUUUAGUGGCCAAACAAACUUUGACAGUUAACUAUAGUCGUCAUAUAAAGACGGUUUUUAAGUGAAACAAAAAGGAAUUAUAGUAAUUUUGUUUGAAUUGUGUCCAAAUUAUGUUGUCCAUUAAUUAGACUUGUCUUUUAUUAUGAAGAAAACAUGCCGUGUUGAGUAAUUGGAUGUAAAAGGAAAAGUUAAAUAAAAACAACAGGAUUGUAUUUUCAUGCGAAGUAUACUAGUUACUAGGCAUUCGAAUUGCUGAACACGAGGAUUUACGUCGUGAUUGGAUUAUAGCUAUACUAUAUUGAACCCAAGCUGAGAAUUUGAGACUUACAUACGAAGCUUGUUUCAUUCAAAGAACAAUAACGAUUACAAUAAAAAAAAUAUAUAUAUAAAUUUAGUCAUAAAUAAAUAAUUGUAUUAUUUGCUCACAAAUCCAGUACGUACAGUCACCUACGAACUUGCAGUUUAUGAUACAUACAUCAUAUUACUCGCAAUACCACAGGCAAUACACUAGUUGACAACCAAAUUCAAUAUUUAAUGACAACAACGAUACAUUUCUAUGAAUUUAUAUUGAAACAGCAAUCGAAAAUGAUUUACUCAAAUCAUAAAUAUGGUUAAUGAAAGUAUGAUUAUAUGUGAAUAUU
Spodoptera frugiperda (fall armyworm) is the source of this 718-nucleotide long non-coding RNA. RefSeq lists it as uncharacterized. The record is from RefSeq and is a predicted model, not a curated record. NCBI's taxonomy places the organism in Eukaryota, Metazoa, Arthropoda, Insecta, Lepidoptera, Noctuidae. The transcript is spliced from 2 exons.